RNAcentral lists this transfer RNA (74 nucleotides) under Stegodyphus mimosarum. It matches the Rfam family "tRNA". From Rfam's summary of the family: Transfer RNA (tRNA) molecules are approximately 80 nucleotides in length. Their secondary structure includes four short double-helical elements and three loops (D, anti-codon, and T loops). The record is from Rfam by way of RNAcentral. Lineage: Eukaryota; Metazoa; Arthropoda; Arachnida; Araneae; Eresidae.
GCUUUCGUGGUGUAGUGGUCAACACGCUCGGCGUGUAUUCCAGAGGCACCGUGGUUCGAGUCCCGGCAAGGGCA